This 696-nucleotide small RNA is filed under the name Pan troglodytes (chimpanzee). RNAcentral describes it as "processed transcript". The record is from RNAcentral. Lineage: Eukaryota; Metazoa; Chordata; Mammalia; Primates; Hominidae.
CAGAUUAUGGCCAAAGUCUAAAUUUGAAUACUGUGCUGACUGACCCUUUUCUACUCUAUUGUUGCGCAAAUGAUACUCUUCAAGGAAGGAUUAUGGCAGCCUGAGAAAUCAGGAAAGCAUGGCUGGGAACUGGCCAAAACAAAAUCCAGCAAGAUCUCUUUGAAGGACAAACUAUUCGAGAGAAAAGAAUUGUAGAAGCAGCAAAUAAAAAAGAAGUAGACUAUGAAGCAGGGGAUAUUCCAACAGAAUGGGAAGUUUCUUACAGAUUCUGGAUAUUAUACUUUGAUGUCUUACAUUUAAGUCUUUAAACCAUCUUGAGUUCAUUUUUGUAUACGGCGAAAGCUUGGAUUAGAAGAACAAGAAAGACUCCACCUACUAUGGAGGAAAUACUAAAGAAUGAAAAACACAGAGAAGAAAUCAAAAUAAAAAGCCAAGAUUUUUAUGAAAAAGAAAAACUCCUUAGUAAAGAGACCAGUGAGGAACUCCUGCCUCCACCAGUUCAAACUCAAAUUAAAGGCCAUGCCUCUGCUCCAUACUUUGGAAAGGAAGAACCCUCAGUGGCUCCCAGCAGCACUGGUAAAACCUUUCAGCCAGGAUCCUGGAUGCCACGAGAUGGGAAGAGCCACAAUCAAUGAAUGCAUUAUGGUCAAAUCUUUUCAUGUAUAUGGAUGUGACUAUUUUAACAAAUAAAAGAAG